UUCGUAGGUGGCUUUCUAAGUCAGACGUGAAAUCCCUCAGCUUAACUGGGGAACUGCGUCUGAGACUGGCGAGCUUGAGUGCAGGAGAGGAACGCGGAAUUCCAGGUGUAGCGGUGAAAUGCGUAGAUAUCUGGAGGAACACCGGUGGCGAAGGCGGCGUUCUGGACUGUUACUGACACUGAGGAACGAAAGCCAGGGAGCAAACG
RNAcentral lists this ribosomal RNA (206 nucleotides) under uncultured bacterium. RNAcentral's name for it is "partial 16S ribosomal RNA". It matches the Rfam family "Bacterial small subunit ribosomal RNA", at positions 568 to 774 of the family's 1533-position model. The record is from RNAcentral.